This is a long non-coding RNA of Cannabis sativa, 1485 nucleotides long. RefSeq lists it as uncharacterized. NCBI's taxonomy places the organism in Eukaryota, Viridiplantae, Streptophyta, Magnoliopsida, Rosales, Cannabaceae. The record is from RefSeq and is a predicted model, not a curated record. The transcript is spliced from 2 exons.
GGGUAAAUUGUUGAGAUUAAUUUAAUUACGUGCUUAAUGGAACUAUAUUAUUAUAUAGUAUGCCUGUGUUGUCUUUUCAGGUGUGUUCUGACAGGUUGGCGCGGUAUAGUCACAACCGGGUAUUUCGGGCCGAACCGAGUUCGGGCCCGAAUUCCAGAUUGGAUUGAUUUAAUUGGCAUUUUAUUUGAUAAGUGAUAAUCUGAAAUUAAUUGGAAUUUAUUUAUGCAUGAAAUGACAAUAUUACCCUUGUGUCAUGUUUAUGUUAUAUUUAAGCCCUAUGGGCAUUUUGGUCUUUUGACCAUUUCGUUAAUUAUCAACAAAAGGAAGUUUUACAAAAUGAGAAAACCAAUUUUCUGGUUUUAUAGCACACCACCGACCCCUCCCUCUCUCUAUUUCUCAUCUUUUCAAAUUUUCAAUCCUUGAGAAUUUUGCCAUGGUUUAAGCUUGGGUUUGGGAAGAUUUUGGUGCUUGGCUUUGAGGAAAGCUUAAGGUAGCUUUCUAUUUAAUUUACUUUGAAUUUUGCUACUGAAUAUAUGUGAAAAUUAUGCUUUUGAUAUUGCUAAAUUGAUUGGUUGCAUGUAUGUGGAAGAUUAGCUUAAUCUUAAAGCUUUUUGUUUAGUUGUGUUGAUAAUCCUUGGUUAUUGUUUUGGAUUAAGUUUAAGAGAGAAUUUUAGGGAUUGUGCUAGUGCUUCUUUUCUGUUAUGCAUCUCUGAAUUUUAUUGUUGAGCUUGAGCUUGUGUUUUGGGUUUAAAGAUUCAAGGAUUGAGCUUGAAUUUGUUGAUAUUUUGCUCAAUGUUUGGAGGUUAAUUUUUAUAUUGAUUAAAUCUGAUUUUGGUUAAGGAUUAAUGCAUGAAUUUUGUGUUUUUUACCCUAUGUUUGGUUGGGGUUCGAAAUCUAGGAAAGGUUGGCAUUUUAAGACCUUAAAAAUGGAGUUUUGGGGUGUUCUAAACCCAGUCGUCGCGACGGGAUUUUCGGCCGUCGCGACUGGAUUUGGCAGUGAGAAAUUCUGUUUUCUCAAUUUUGUUUUGGCCAUAACUUUUGACUCGGGACUCCGUUUGGGAUGUUCUUUAUAUCGUUGGAAAGCUCGUUCCGAGCUCUAUUUGAUUAUCUAUGUUUUGAAUGCCAUGUUUAUAUUUUGUGAAAGUGAAAUUGGGGAUUAACCCUAUUUGUGAAAUCCCGGAUUGUGUGACUAGGAUUACCGGCACCUGAUCAGGAGCACCCAGGGGUUUGGAAUCUCUGUUAUUGCGGGACAACAGGAAAGGGUAAGUCAGUGGCUGAUCAACCAUGAGUUUGAGGAGCAAAACGAAGAAUGUACAUGUUCAAGCCAUAUCAGACCAAGCGGGUUAAGGGUCUAUCAGUGUUGAACUUUUGAAUUCUGUUUUGCCGCUUAGGUCGGCUAGAAAGAAAAGACUUGUAAUAAGUUUGUAAUUAUUUUUGGGAUCCCAACUAUUUUGAAAGUUUAAAUAUAUUACAAGUUUAUUUUCA